UACAGAGACCUCGAGCGUUAUCCGGAUUCAUUGGGCGUAAAGCGUCCGCAGGCGGCCAAGUAAGUGAGUGGUCAAAUCUUCCGGCUUAACCGGGAAACCGCCACUCAUACUGCUCGGCUAGAGGCUGGGAGAGGCAAGCGGAACUGUUGGUGUAGUAGUAAAAUGCGUUGAUAUCAACAGGAACACCAGAGGCGAAGGCGGCUUGCUGGAACAGUUCUGACGCUCAGGGACGAAAGCGUGGGGAGCGAAGCAG
RNAcentral lists this unclassified non-coding RNA (253 nucleotides) under Patescibacteria group bacterium. Its description in RNAcentral is "contains 16S-23S intergenic spacer region". It matches the Rfam family "Bacterial small subunit ribosomal RNA", at positions 524 to 776 of the family's 1533-position model. The record is from RNAcentral.